GGUUAAGUUACUAAGGGCACACGGUGGAUGCCUUGGCGCUAGGAGCCGAAGAAGGACGCAGCGAACUGCGAUAAGCCUCGGGAGCGGUAAGCACGCUUUGAUCCGGGGAUCUCCGAAUGGGGCAACCCACCAUCCGUAAUGGGAUGGUAUCCGUCACUGAAUACAUAGGUGAUGAGAAGGCAGACCCGGUGAACUGAAACAUCUAAGUAGCCGGAGGAAGAGAAAACAAUAGUGAUUCCGUCAGUAGUGGCGAGCGAACGCGGAAGAGCCUAAACCGUCGGGUUUACCCGGCGGGGUUGUGGGACGUCUCACUAGGAGUUACAAAAGACUCUUGUAGAUGAACAGCUUGGGAAAGCUGACCAGAGAGCGUGACAGUCGCGUAAUCCAAACAAGAGUCUCUCCGAGACGGAUCCCGAGUAGCGCGGGACACGUGAAAUCCCGUGUGAAUCUGGCAGGACCAUCUGCUAAGGCUAAAUACUACCUAGCGACCGAUAGUGAACCAGUACCGUGAGGGAAAGGUGAAAAGCACCCCGGGAGGGGAGUGAAAUAGUACCUGAAACCGUGUGCUUACAAAUAGUCGGAGCCCGUUAAAAGGGUGACGGCGUGCCUUUUGUAGAAUGAACCGGCGAGUUACGGUAGCGUGCGAGGUUAAGUUGAAGAGACGGAGCCGCAGCGAAAGCGAGUCUGAAUAGGGCGAUAGUACGCUGCCGUAGACCCGAAACCGUGUGAUCUAGCCAUGUCCAGGGUGAAGGUAGGGUAACACCUACUGGAGGCCCGAACCCACGCACGUUGAAAAGUGCGGGGAUGAGGUGUGGCUAGCGGUGAAAUUCCAAUCGAACUCGGAGAUAGCUGGUUCUCCCCGAAAUAGCUUUAGGGCUAGCCUCGGAAUUUAGAGUCUUGGAGGUAGAGCACUGAUUGGGCUAGGGGCCCUCAUCGGGUUACCGAACUCAGUCAAACUCCGAAUGCCAAUGACUUAUGUCCGGGAGUCAGACGGUGAGUGCUAAGAUCCAUCGUCAAAAGGGAAACAGCCCAGACCAUCAGCUAAGGUCCCCAAGUAUACGUUAAGUGGGAAACGAUGUGGAGUUGCCCAGACAACCAGGAUGUUGGCUUAGAAGCAGCCACCAUUUAAAGAGUGCGUAAUAGCUCACUGGUCGAGUGACUCUGCGCGGAAAAUGUAACGGGGCUAAACGUAUCACCGAAGCUAUGGCAGUCCUUACGGACUGGGUAGGGGAGCGUUCCAAGCAGCAGUGAAGCCGUACUGGAAAGAGCGGUGGAGCGCUUGGAAGUGAGAAUGCCGGUGUAAGUAGCGAAAAGACAAGUGAGAAUCUUGUCCACCGAAAGCCUAAGGGUUCCUGGGGAAGGCUCGUCCUCCCAGGGUUAGUCGGGACCUAAGCUGAGGCCGAAAGGCGUAGGCGAUGGACAACAGGUUGAUAUUCCUGUACCACCUCUGUUCCGCUUGAGCAAUGGCGUGACGCAGGAGGAUAGGGUGAGCGGCCUACUGGAUGGCCGUCCAAGCAGCAAGCCUGGUGUGUAGGCAAAUCCGCACACCGUAAGGGCAAGCUGUGAUGGCGAGGGAAAUGUAAGUACCGAAGUCCCUGAUUUCACACUGCCAAGAAAAGCGUCUAGCGAGGAAUAAGGUGCCCGUACCGCAAACCGACACAGGUAGGCGAGGAGAGAAUCCUAAGGUGCGCGGGAUAACUCUUGCUAAGGAACUCGGCAAAAUGGCCCCGUAACUUCGGGAGAAGGGGCGCCCCGGUAGGGUGAGGGUCCCCGUCUGACGCGAGCGUAAGCUUGUGUCAGGCGGGCUGAGCCCGAGGGGGCCGCAGUGAAAAGGCCCAAGCGACUGUUUAGCAAAAACACAGGUCUCUGCGAAGCCGCAAGGCGAAGUAUAGGGGCUGACGCCUGCCCGGUGCUGGAAGGUUAAGGGGAUGGGUUAGUUUCGGGACCCCGCCGAACGUGAGCGUAAGCUUAGGUUCGGUGGGCCGAGGCGAAGCUUUGAACCGAAGCCCCAGUAAACGGCGGCCGUAACUAUAACGGUCCUAAGGUAGCGAAAUUCCUUGUCGGGUAAGUUCCGACCCGCACGAAAGGCGUAACGACUUGGGCGCUGUCUCGGCAAGAGACCCGGUGAAAUCAUAAUACCUGUGAAGAUGCAGGUUACCCGCGACAAGACGGAAAGACCCCAUGGAGCUUUACUGUAGCCUGGUAUUGGAACUUUGUGCAUCAUGUACAGGAUAGGUGGGAAGCUGAGAAGCAGGGGCGCCAGCCUCUGUGGAGCUGUCGGUGGGAUACCACCCUUGAUGUACGGAGUUUCUAACUCGUCGCCCUUAUCGGGCGAGAGGACCAUGCCAGGUGGGCAGUUUGACUGGGGCGGUCGCCUCCCAAAAGGUAACGGAGGCGCCCAAAGGUUCCCUCAGAAUGGUCGGAAAUCAUUCGUAGAGUGUAAAGGCAGAAGGGAGCUUGACUGCGAGACCUACAAGUCGAGCAGGGACGAAAGUCGGGCUUAGUGAUCCGGUGGUUCCGCAUGGAAGGGCCAUCGCUCAACGGAUAAAAGCUACCCUGGGGAUAACAGGCUUAUCUCCCCAAGAGUCCACAUCGACGGGGAGGUUUGGCACCUCGAUGUCGGCUCAUCGCAUCCUGGGGCUGAAGUAGGUCCCAAGGGUUGGGCUGUUCGCCCAUUAAAGCGGUACGCGAGCUGGGUUCAGAACGUCGUGAGACAGUUCGGUCCCUAUCUGUCGCGGGCGUAGGAAGUUUGAGGAGAGCUGUCCUUAGUACGAGAGGACCGGGAUGGACGCACCGCUGGUGCACCAGUUGUCACGCCAGUGGCACAGCUGGGUAGCUAUGUGCGGACGGGAUAAGCGCUGAAAGCAUCUAAGCGUGAAGCCCCCUCCAAGAUGAGACUUCCCACAGCGCAAGCUGGUAAGACCCCUCAUAGACGAUGAGGUUGAUAGGUUCGGUGUGGAAGCGUGGUAACACGUGGAGCUGACGAAUACUAAUCGGUCGAGGACUUAUCCAC
RNAcentral lists this ribosomal RNA (3013 nucleotides) under Brevibacillus choshinensis. Its description in RNAcentral is "23S ribosomal RNA". It matches the Rfam family "Bacterial large subunit ribosomal RNA". Lineage: Bacteria; Bacillati; Bacillota; Bacilli; Caryophanales; Paenibacillaceae. The record is from RNAcentral.